This 200-nucleotide ribosomal RNA is filed under the name uncultured bacterium. Its description in RNAcentral is "partial 16S ribosomal RNA". It matches the Rfam family "Bacterial small subunit ribosomal RNA", at positions 8 to 217 of the family's 1533-position model. The record is from RNAcentral.
AGAGUUUGAUCCUGGCUCAGGACGAACGCUGGCGGCGUGCUUAACACAUGCAAGUCAAGGGGGCCCGCAAGGGCAACCGGCGAACGGGUGCGUAACACGUGAGCAACCUACCGAGAUGUGGGGGAUAGCCGGCCCAACGGCCGGGUAAUACCGCAUACGCUCUCUUUGGGGAGUCCUAGAGAGAAGAAACCUUUCGGGGG